This is a long non-coding RNA of Ostrea edulis (European flat oyster), 434 nucleotides long. RefSeq lists it as uncharacterized. The transcript is spliced from 3 exons. The record is from RefSeq and is a predicted model, not a curated record. NCBI's taxonomy places the organism in Eukaryota, Metazoa, Mollusca, Bivalvia, Ostreida, Ostreidae.
CUAACUUUCUUUUUGUUCAAGGUGUUUUAUCAUAACUUGUUAAAGGGUUUAUAAUUUCCAUCUUCACAUUUUGAUAGAUGAGAGCAACUUUCUCAUCCUUUAAAUACUGUAUUUGAAAUCCUGGGAUAAUAUGAAGAAGAUAAACAAGCCAUAAUUUGGUGAUUUUCCACUAUAACAUGUGUGAGAAAUGAAUCUCUUCCAAAAGACUGAUAAAUCUGAAUGAGUGAUCACAUAACCACUUAUCAGAAAGGAUCUCAGGCCUCUCAACUGAGGGAAAACCUAAUGAAUUCUGACACAAGUCUCCCUUCUCCACAGGAAAACAACAAUGGCAAUCACUACUACAAAGACAACGACAGCAACACAAAGUCCAAUGAUCAUAAUCAGGGUGUCAUUGCUGCUGGAUGUACUGGUUGCUGGAAAAAAAGAUAUUAAAU